GACGAACGCUGGCGGCGUGCCUAAUACAUGCUAGUAGAACGCUGAAGAGAGGAGCUUGCUCUUCUUGGAUGAGUUGCGAACGGGUGAGUAACGCGUAGGUAACCUGCCUGGUAGCGGGGGAUAACUAUUGGAAACGAUAGCUAAUACCGCAUAAAAUUGAUUAUUGCAUGAUAAUUAAUUGAAAGAUGCAACUGCAUCACUACCAGAUGGACCUGCGUUGUAUUAGCUAGUUGGUGAGGUAACGGCUCACCAAGGCGACGAUACAUAGCCGACCUGAGAGGGUGAUCGGCCACACUGGGACUGAGACACGGCCCAGACUCCUACGGGAGGCAGCAGUAGGGAAUCUUCGGCAAUGGGGGAACCCUGACCGAGCAACGCCGCGGGAGUGAAGAAGGUUUUCGGAUCGUAAAGCUCUGUUGUAAGAGAAGAACGGGUGUGAGAGUGGAAAGUUCACACUGUGACGGUAGCUGACCAGAAAGGGACGGCUAACUACGUG
RNAcentral lists this ribosomal RNA (496 nucleotides) under uncultured bacterium. RNAcentral describes it as "partial 16S ribosomal RNA". It matches the Rfam family "Bacterial small subunit ribosomal RNA", at positions 28 to 507 of the family's 1533-position model. The record is from RNAcentral.